GCCGGGCGCUGUGGCUCACGCCUGUAAUCCCAGCACUUUGGGAGGCUGAGGCAGGUGGAUCACUUGAGGUCAGGAGUUCAAGACCAGCCUGGCCAACAUAGUGAAACCCUGUCUCUA
Molecule: non-coding RNA, 117 nt
Filed under: Gorilla gorilla gorilla (western lowland gorilla)
Lineage: Eukaryota; Metazoa; Chordata; Mammalia; Primates; Hominidae
Source: Rfam by way of RNAcentral